This 88-nucleotide transfer RNA is filed under the name Salinibacter ruber. Its description in RNAcentral is "tRNA-Leu". It matches the Rfam family "tRNA". From Rfam's summary of the family: Transfer RNA (tRNA) molecules are approximately 80 nucleotides in length. Their secondary structure includes four short double-helical elements and three loops (D, anti-codon, and T loops). RNAcentral also lists the same sequence under 1 other name. Lineage: Bacteria; Pseudomonadati; Rhodothermota; Rhodothermia; Rhodothermales; Salinibacteraceae. The record is from RNAcentral.
GCCCGAGUGGCGGAAUUGGUAGACGCGCGUGAUUCAGGGUCACGUGGCCCUUGCGGCCGUGGAGGUUCGAGUCCUCUCUCGGGCACCA